RNAcentral lists this ribosomal RNA (330 nucleotides) under uncultured eukaryote. RNAcentral describes it as "partial 18S ribosomal RNA". It matches the Rfam family "Eukaryotic small subunit ribosomal RNA", at positions 1470 to 1796 of the family's 1831-position model. The record is from RNAcentral.
CCCUUAGAUGUUCUGGGCCGCACGCGCGCUACACUGAUGCAUUCAACGAGCCUAUCCUUGACCGACAGGUCCGGGUAAUCUUUGAAUCUGCAUCGUGACGGGGAUAGAUUAUUGCAAUUAUUAAUCUUCAACGAGGAAUGCCUAGUAGGCGCAAGUCAUAAGCUCGCGUUGAUUACGUCCCUGCCCUUUGUACACACCGCCCGUCGCUACUACCGAUUGAACGGUUUAGUGAGGGCCUCGGAUUGGUCUCGGCCCGCUCUUUACCGGGCGGCGCCGUUGGUCGAGAAGACGCUCGAACUUGAUCGUUUAGAGGAAGUAAAAGUCGUAACA